UACGUAGGGUGCGAGCGUUAAUCGGAAUUACUGGGCGUAAAGCGUGCGCAGGCGGUUUUGUAAGCCAGAUGUGAAAGCCCCGGGCUUAACCUGGGAAUGGCAUUUGGGACUGCAAGGCUUGAGUGCGGCAGAGGAGACUGGAAUUUCCGGUGUAGCAGUGAAAUGCGUAGAUAUCGGGAGGAAUACCGAUGGCGAAGGCAGGUCUCUGGGCUGACACUGACGCUCAUGCACGAAAGCGCGGGGAGCAAACAGG
RNAcentral lists this ribosomal RNA (253 nucleotides) under uncultured bacterium. Its description in RNAcentral is "partial 16S ribosomal RNA". It matches the Rfam family "Bacterial small subunit ribosomal RNA", at positions 524 to 776 of the family's 1533-position model. The record is from RNAcentral.